UGAAAUGAACAUUCCUGUAGUGAAAACUUUCAAGAUAUUCAUGAUAAUUUCCUUAGGUCAAAUUCUUGGAUAUGAAAUUAUUAUGUCAAAAAUAGGCACAUCAUUAAGUCUUCUUAUACAAGUUAUGAAGCAUUAUGAUGUGAGAAUCACAUUUCCUCUCACCCUCUGCAAAAUUAGAUAUUAUAAUAAUCUGCUUGAAUAUGAUGUAUUGAACUCUCAUUGAUUAUA
Molecule: long non-coding RNA, 228 nt
Filed under: Homo sapiens (human)
Lineage: Eukaryota; Metazoa; Chordata; Mammalia; Primates; Hominidae
Description: non-protein coding lnc-CPE-2:1
Source: RNAcentral